RNAcentral lists this long non-coding RNA (643 nucleotides) under Lupinus mutabilis. RNAcentral's name for it is "partial ncRNA". The record is from RNAcentral. Lineage: Eukaryota; Viridiplantae; Streptophyta; Magnoliopsida; Fabales; Fabaceae.
UUCAAUUUCACCCAUGGCCGCUAUUGCAAAAACGAAACCUACGAAAACGGUGUUGUUGCUGAGCUUUUGGGCAAGACAAGUAUAAUACCUAUGAUCCGGCGAGUUUUCGGCAACACAAAAACUAGAAACCAACUCGAAACUCGGAGCUGGAUUCUAAUAAUGUGCUUCAUCUCUCUUGGCUUAAAUAUGGCCCUUUCAAUGUCUCCUGCUUUGUGUGGAAACUUCUUCGGCGGCGCAUAGCGGUAAAGGAUGAGCUCACCCAUAGGAAUGCUGGACAAGAUUCGUUGGACUGUAUACUUUGCAUCAACAACAAUGAUAACAUUGAUCAUUUGUUUAUGCACUGCCCUUUUACUCAUAAGGUUUGCCUUGCUUUAUACUCAUGGUUGAACUACUCGUGUUGUAAUGUGAAUUUCAUUAAGGAGGCUCUCUAGUAUCAUCAUUCCAUCUCUCCGAAGAAAAAGUUGGCUCCUAGGGUUUUACUCAGAGGGGGGAAUAUCAGUUUUACUCAGAUUAUCCACAAUAUAAAAAUUAAAUCAUGGAUUUGGUUCACAAAAUGUCGGAAAAAUGACUCUUUUUGUUCCUUUAAUAUUUGAUGUAUAUCACCAUUUACCUUAAUCUCCACUCACUAUAAUUUGUAAUGUCU